Molecule: non-coding RNA, 2323 nt
Organism: Phascolarctos cinereus (koala)
Lineage: Eukaryota; Metazoa; Chordata; Mammalia; Diprotodontia; Phascolarctidae
Source: RefSeq, a predicted model, not a curated record
GCAGACAUGCAAAAGACAUGCAUGAAGACAAACCAAGUAAUAAACUGAAAAGGCAAGAGGAGUGAGCAGAGGCAUUUAUUUCACUAGAAGCAGAGGAACUGGGAAAAACAGAGAUUUGCUGAAGUGAAGCAAAGUGAAGGAAGUGAGAAGUUGUGCUGGGCACAUGAACCUCAGAAAACUGCUGCAGGGCAAGGAGAGCAGACUCAGGAACAAUUUAAUUAUUUGACUCUGACAUCCAGAAUCUAUUAAGAAAUUUCUACAAACUUGUAAGAGCAACCAAUAUCCAGAAUUGUAAAAGUAAAGCACAUUUUACAAAAACAGGAAAAACAAAUUUUAAAUGCGAAGCAUUCAACAUCAUUACUGAUUGGAAUAUCACUGAACACCCAUUUGGGGCUUCUUCCCAGAGUCCCUCCUUAUUGCUGAUUUUUUUUUCUACCUUUGCGAAAUCCUUAAGAUUUUUCUUAACUGGAAAAAAAAAGUGUUCAUUUCAUAAAGUAAAGAUGGCACUUACAGGAAGGGUCAGGGAAGUCACAAACUACACGUUAUGAAUUACUGAAAAAGCAUUUUUUGAACUAUUCCUACUAAGUGCCAAGUGCCAUGCUCAGCACUGGGGAUAACAACUAGAGAAAGACUGGUCCAUGGUCAAGUUGGGGGAAGACAACAUAUUAGAAAGUUUGGUUGCUGGGCAAAGGAAAAAACUUAAAAGUCUUAGUUCUAAAAGUCAUAAGAAUGCUCCAGAGGGACAGACUGCGCGGCCCCAGCUACGCAUCUUCAGAUUGUCAGUAGCUAGGAUGACAAGGAACACACAAACAAGGAAAGCCGGGAAGUCCUUAGAAAGCAGCAUCAGGGCUGAUGGUAAGGUUUGUUUAGCCGUCCAUCUUACCUGAAGGAAAAGUUGAGAUUUUCAUUAGCUUAAGUCAUGUGAGCAGUCAAGCUGUCUAGAUUGGUUCUAGGUUUUGGGCAAGAGUUGAGCAAGUCAGAAUUCAGUUGGACCUGACCCAGAUGAGGAUAUCUGCCUUUCUCUUAGUAUUCGCACAUGUGAACAAUUUCUACAGUUGAUAGUAUGCGUUUCUUUCUUGUCUGCAUUAUUUUAAAAAAUUUUUAAAUAGCACACAGAAAAACUGAGAAAGCAUAUGAAGAAAAUGGCCAAAGACAGCCAUGGAAUACAGCUCCAAGACAAGGAGAUAAAAAGAUGUUGAUGCAUAAGCUUCGAUUGUGUUCAUGGUGGUCUGUUAGCUUUUGAACACUUCAAGGUGAACUGACCAAGCAUGGGUUCCCCUUCACUUGAGAUCUUUAAGGCUGGAUGGCUACAUAUCAGGAACACUGUGGGAAGGAUGCUCUUUCCAGCUAAAGAUUGGUCUAAAUGGUGACUGAAAUCUCUUCCAACUCUGAAAUUCUGUGAUUCGGAUUUCCAUGAAAUGAUGAUUUUCAUUUCCUUCAUGUGAAGGAUGAAAUAAAUUCUUCCAAUUCUUGUAUUUGCCUAAGGAGAACCUGUGAGCCACCCUUUCACUUAGAAGCAAGUUCUUUAUGUCUUCUGGUUUUAUUCAUAGGGAAAAAUGCCAAAUAGAACAUAAGCUACUUGUUGGUUACUGGGCAAAUAUUAUAAUGAUUUAAAACACCAAGUUUAACUAAUAGUUACGGAUCAUCUUAAAAUGGUAUGAUUCUUAGUUCAUGAGCAUCUGCCCCCUCACACUGCAGAAGGAGAAGGAAUUGAGGAGUGUAUUAUAUUUUAAUCUGUUCCGUGGGCCAUUUUGUGGAGGGGGAAAAAUAUUACUUAAGCAGCCAACGUUGUGGUGAUGAAGCUCUACACUUAAGCUGUCCUUCAGCCAGCAGACAUAGGAUACAGUCAGGAAAAUACUUGGAAAUUUUUCUAAUUCAGUUGAAUCAACCAGAACUUGCACUCCAUUGACAGCCUUUCAGAAGGCAGCUUGCCUCUAAAUAAUAAUGAGACAUUAGAGUAGAACUUUUGUCGGGGACAACAAGUUACCAUAGUACAAGUGAAAGAUAUUUCUUACUUAUCAUUGACUUUAGAUAUGAAACUAGAAAACUGCCUCUGAGUCAGACUAGAGAAUAAGAGAGCCAAGAAGUAUAGAAGCUCAGGAAAAAGGCUUGGGAUGAAGACAAUAUGUAUGGACAAUAAAGACCAGGCACUGCUGCUACCAAGUGGUAGAACUUGUAACUCAUUCAUUUGUCAUUUCUCUCCAAUUCUAUGAUUCUUAAACUUUUUACCUCUUGUUUUUGCAACCUACAGAAACUGUAAUUUGGAUCUGAGAAGGAAAAAGCAAUCCAUUUAGUAUCAAGUUAAUGACAAUAAAAAGCAAUU